Molecule: ribosomal RNA, 492 nt
Filed under: uncultured bacterium
Lineage: Bacteria
Description: partial 16S ribosomal RNA
Rfam family: Bacterial small subunit ribosomal RNA
Source: RNAcentral
AGUGAACGCUGGCGGUAGGCCUAACACAUGCAAGUCGGACGGCAGCACAGUAAGAGCUUGCUCUUACGGGUGGCGAGUGGCGGACGGGUGAGGAAUACAUCGGAAUCUACUUUUUCGUGGGGGAUAACGUAGGGCAACUUACGCUAAUACCGCAUACGACCUACGGGUGAAAGCAGGGGAUAUUCGCACCUUGGGCGAUUGAAUGAGACGGCGUCGGACUAGCUAGUUGGCGGGGUAAAGGCCCAACAAGGCAACGCUCCGUAGCUGGGCUGAGAAGGUGAUCAGGCACACUGGAACGAGGACACGGUCCAGACUCCUACGGGAGGCAGCAGUAGGGAAGUUUCCGCAAUGGGCGGAAGCCUGAUACAGCAACAACGCGUGAGUGAAAAAGGUCUUCGGAUCGUAAAACUCUUUUAUUAGGGAAAAAAAAAUGCGGAAGUAACUAUCCACGUCUUGACGGUACCGAAUCAGAAAGCCACGGCGAACUACGUG